Molecule: long non-coding RNA, 1059 nt
Filed under: Macaca mulatta (Rhesus monkey)
Lineage: Eukaryota; Metazoa; Chordata; Mammalia; Primates; Cercopithecidae
Description: lncRNA (ENSMMUG00000042689.2)
Source: RNAcentral
UAUAUUGAUCCAAAGUAUAUUGUUUAGUGACAAGCUGUUCCCCUUUGAGUUUGAUAGGGGGUUAUUUAUGUCUAAGUCUAAAUCUAAAAAAUGUAUUUGUAUACACCUGGCAGAAGGAAAGAAACAGUUGAAUAAAUUUAGAUAAAAGAAAAUAAAACCAGAAAUAAAAUCAGUAUGAAUUAAUGCCAUAUAUUCAUAUGUUAUUGUUACAGGUGGGCAGCAAAUUCGUCACUAAUUUUCCAGCAGCCAAUGAAAUAAAAGAAAACAAGGAUUUAAAAGACUCAUUGAAUAAAAAGAACCCAGGCUUCCAGAUCAGCCACCCUUGGGAAUGAUGUCAGUUACUGUGGGGUCAGCUGGGCAAUUUAGUGUACAGACUAAAGAUGAAGUGGUCAAAGGAUAAGGAGGUGAUAUCUAGAAGAUGUUGCAAGUGCCAGACUAUUUUAUGCUGCUGUAGAAAGCAAUAGCCAGAGUCCUGCAGAGCACAGAAGCAAGACUGUCUCCUCAGGUAAGCAGUAACAACUUCAUAUUUGUGUGGCACAUUUCACUUUUGUAACACUUUUGUAUAUUUCUUUUUUUCCCUUAUACCUUCACAGCACUGGUCUAAAAGUAUGUAGGUAGUUCUUUAAUUGUUACCUUAUAGAUGAAAAAAAGAGAAACCUCAGAGGGACUUACCUGAGCCCAAAGAGCUAAGAAGCAGGCCAGAACUCAAAAGAACUAUGCUUUUAAAAAUGACACUCUAUCAUGUCUUGAAAGUGCCUUGAAAGGAUCCCUCUGCCUCUAGUUUUCAAUCUGAAAUCUUAAGUUUGAUAAAAAUUUUACAUGCAGUGUUGCCUAUCCAAAAUUGCCCCUUUAUGGGACUUCAGAAUUUCCAUUAUCUUUGCUCUUUAUAUUUCCACUUAUCAUUGCUCCAAGAAAUUCUAAAAAUUCAGAUAAAAGUCCUUGCUUGAUUCUUUAAGGUUGUUUGAUAUUUGGAUCCAUUUGAAUGUUGACCAUAGCUGUCUAUUUUUAUAAUUUGUUUUUCACCAUGCAUAAACUACUAUCUUAACCUUGUUCUGUUUU